UUAGAUUCAAGGAGACCUAUUAAGAAUAGAUUUCUUGUAGGCUUUGAACGUCAAGGGGAUUAGCACUGCUAUUCCGAUUCAGAGAUAACGUUAAACGACAGGCAUUGCCUAUACAGGUUAACGGCAGGUGAUGACGGGGCAGAGCUGAGGCUAGAGUUCAACUCCUUAUUUUGACUUCCGCUGUAGAACUAGCCCAUAUCUAUCUUUUGUUGAGCCUAAACUAUUGACUCUCAAGUAUUUCGAUUAAUGAAUGUUGGUUAUCUGAAGCAUGACACUAAACUUGUGAUCCUGAAGUUGUUAUGUUUGUGGAUUGAUUCGUAUCACUUGAAUACCUGUCUUUCUUCAUCCAAAGGGGCUAAGCCCGAUUGUUAUCCCGUUUAUUCGGAUUUCACAAGGAUUUUCCCUUGUUCAUUUA
Molecule: long non-coding RNA, 415 nt
Organism: Salvia miltiorrhiza (redroot sage)
Lineage: Eukaryota; Viridiplantae; Streptophyta; Magnoliopsida; Lamiales; Lamiaceae
Exons: 2
Source: RefSeq, a predicted model, not a curated record